Molecule: transfer RNA, 78 nt
Filed under: Bacteroidetes bacterium QH_1_64_81
Lineage: Bacteria; Pseudomonadati; Bacteroidota
Also listed under: 3 other names
Description: tRNA-Pro
Rfam family: tRNA
About the family: Transfer RNA (tRNA) molecules are approximately 80 nucleotides in length. Their secondary structure includes four short double-helical elements and three loops (D, anti-codon, and T loops).
Source: RNAcentral
CGGGGCGUGGCGCAGUCCGGUUAGCGCACCUGCUUUGGGAGCAGGAGGUCGCCGGUUCAAAUCCGGCCGCCCCGACUA